AUUGAACGCUGGCGGCAUGCUUUACACAUGCAAGUCGAACGGUAACAGGUUAAGCUGACGAGUGGCGAACGGGUGAGUAAUGCAUCGGAACGUGCCCGGUCGUGGGGGAUAACGCAGCGAAAGCUGCGCUAAUACCGCAUACGAUCUGAGGAUGAAAGCGGGGGACCAUAAGGCCUCGCGCGAUCGGAGCGGCCGAUGUCAGAUUAGGUAGUUGGUGGGGUAAAGGCUCACCAAGCCAACGAUCUGUAGCUGGUCUGAGAGGACGACCAGCCACACUGGGACUGAGACACGGCCCAGACUCCUACGGGAGGCAGCAGUGGGAAUUUUGGACAAUGGGCGAAAGCCUGAUCCAGCAAUGCCGCGUGCAGGAAGAAGGCCUUCGGGUUGUAAACUGCUUUUGUACGGAGCGAAAAGGUCUCCUCUAAUACAGGGGGCUCAUGACGGUACCGUAAGAAUAAGCACCGGCUAACUACGUGCCAGCCGCCGCGGUAA
Molecule: ribosomal RNA, 492 nt
Filed under: uncultured bacterium
Lineage: Bacteria
Description: partial 16S ribosomal RNA
Rfam family: Bacterial small subunit ribosomal RNA
Source: RNAcentral